Molecule: transfer-messenger RNA, 362 nt
Filed under: Cohnella nanjingensis
Lineage: Bacteria; Bacillati; Bacillota; Bacilli; Caryophanales; Paenibacillaceae
Description: Standard tmRNA
Rfam family: transfer-messenger RNA
About the family: Bacterial tmRNA, also known as 10Sa RNA or SsrA, is named for its dual tRNA and mRNA-like properties. Its role is to liberate the mRNA from a stalled ribosome.
Source: Rfam by way of RNAcentral
GGGGGCGUUUAUGGAUUCGACGGGGAUAGUUCGAGCAUGGGUUGCGGGUAGUGGGGACGCGUCCGCUUCAUCAACGCUAAAGCCUAUUAAAUGGCAACCAACGUACAACUUUAGCAGCAGCCUAAGAAACUGUAUGCUAAGCUUCUACUCUCCAUCGCCCAUGUGGCGGGAUAGGGGCUCAACUUUAGUGGGAUACGCUGUCUAGUCUCCGCCUGGGGCUAGCUGAAGAAGACAAUCAGGCUGACCCGAAGCGGAGCUGGUUACGGAGCGCUGCUAGGGUGACAUCAAAUCCGUGACUACACCCGUAGAAGCCUGUGUGCCGUUAUCUUCGGACAGGGGUUCGACUCCCCUCGCCUCCACCA